GAUGAACGCUGGCGGCGUGCCUAAUACAUGCAAGUCGAGCGAACAGACGAGGAGCUUGCUCCUCUGACGUUAGCGGCGGACGGGUGAGUAACACGUGGAUAACCUACCUAUAAGACUGGGAUAACUUCGGGAAACCGGAGCUAACACCGGAUAAUCUAUUGAACCGCAUGGUUGAAUAGUGAAAGACGGCGUUGCUGGCACUAAUAGAUGGAUCCGCGCCGCAUUAGCGAGUUGGUAAGGUAACGGCUUACCAAGGCAACGAUGCGUAGCCGACGUCAGAGGGUGGUCGCCCACAUGGGAACUGAGCCAGCGUCCUGACUCCUACGGGACGCCGCAGUAGGGUAUGUUCCGCAAUGGGCGGAAGCCUUACGGAGCAGCGCCGCGUGAGUGAUGAAGGUCUUCGGUUCGUAAAGCUCUGUUAUUGGUGAAGAACAAAAUUGUAAGUAGCUGUGCCCUUCUUGACGGUAACUAGUCAGAAAGCCCCGGCUAACUACGUG
RNAcentral lists this ribosomal RNA (497 nucleotides) under uncultured bacterium. RNAcentral describes it as "partial 16S ribosomal RNA". It matches the Rfam family "Bacterial small subunit ribosomal RNA", at positions 28 to 507 of the family's 1533-position model. The record is from RNAcentral.